GAGUGGACGCAUCACUGGUGUUCGGGUUGUCAUGCCAAUGGCACUGCCCGGUAGCUAAAUGCGGAAGAGAUAAGUGCUGAAAGCAUCUAAGCACGAAACUUGCCCCGAGAUGAGUUCUCCCUGAGACCUUGAGUCUCCUGAAGGAACGUUGAAGACGACGACGUUGAUAGGUCGGGUGUGUAAGCGCAGCGAUGCGUUGAGCUAACCGAUACUAAUGAACCGUGAGGCUUAACCUUACAACGCCGAAG
This 248-nucleotide ribosomal RNA is filed under the name Enterobacter cloacae subsp. cloacae. RNAcentral describes it as "partial 23S ribosomal RNA". It matches the Rfam family "Bacterial large subunit ribosomal RNA", at positions 2695 to 2925 of the family's 2925-position model. The record is from RNAcentral. Lineage: Bacteria; Pseudomonadati; Pseudomonadota; Gammaproteobacteria; Enterobacterales; Enterobacteriaceae.